RNAcentral lists this ribosomal RNA (503 nucleotides) under uncultured bacterium. Its description in RNAcentral is "bacterial SSU rRNA". It matches the Rfam family "Bacterial small subunit ribosomal RNA", at positions 565 to 1071 of the family's 1533-position model. The record is from RNAcentral.
GAGUGCGUAGGUGGCACCUUAAGCGCAGGGUUUAAGGCAAUGGCUCAACCAUUGUUCGCCUUGCGAACUGGGGUGCUUGAGUGCAGGAGGGGAAAGUGGAAUUCCUAGUGUAGCGGUGAAAUGCGUAGAUAUUAGGAGGAACACCAGUGGCGAAGGCGACUUUCUGGACUGUUACUGACACUGAGGCACGAAAGCGUGGGGAGCAAACAGGAUUAGAUACCCUGGUAGUCCACGCCGUAAACGAUGAGCACUAGGUGUCGGGGUCGCAAGACUUCGGUGCCGCAGUUAACGCAUUAAGUGCUCCGCCUGGGGAGUACGCACGCAAGUGUAAAACUCAAAGGAAUUGACGGGGACCCGCACAAGCAGCGGAGCAUGUGGUUUAAUUCGAAGCAACGCGAAGAACCUUACCAGGACUUGACAUCCUCUUGACAGAUUCUUAAUCGGAUCCUUCUUCGGACAAGAGAGACAGGUGGUGCAUGGUUGUCGUCAGCUCGUGUCGUGAG